CCUACGGGGUGCAGCAGUGGGGAAUAUUGGACAAUGGGCGAAAGCCUGAUCCAGCCAUGCCGCGUGUGUGAAGAAGGCCUUCGGGUUGUAAAGCACUUUCAGUGGGGAAGAAAGCCUUGGGGCUAAUACCCUCGAGGAAGGACAUCACCCACAGAAGAAGCACCGGCUAACUCCGUGCCAGCAGCCGCGGUAAUACGGAGGGUGCGAGCGUUAAUCGGAAUUACUGGGCGUAAAGCGCGCGUAGGCGGUCUGAUAAGCCGGUUGUGAAAGCCCCGGGCUCAACCUGGGAACGGCAUCCGGAACUGUCAGGCUAGAGUGCAGGAGAGGAAGGUAGAAUUCCCGGUGUAGCGGUGAAAUGCGUAGAGAUCGGGAGGAAUACCAGUGGCGAAGGCGGUCUUCUGGACUGACACUGACGCUGAGGUGCGAAAGCGUGGGUAGCAAACAGGAUUAGAUACCCCUGUAGUC
RNAcentral lists this ribosomal RNA (465 nucleotides) under Vreelandella stevensii. RNAcentral's name for it is "partial 16S ribosomal RNA". It matches the Rfam family "Bacterial small subunit ribosomal RNA", at positions 338 to 795 of the family's 1533-position model. The record is from RNAcentral. Lineage: Bacteria; Pseudomonadati; Pseudomonadota; Gammaproteobacteria; Oceanospirillales; Halomonadaceae.